This 499-nucleotide ribosomal RNA is filed under the name uncultured bacterium. Its description in RNAcentral is "partial 16S ribosomal RNA". It matches the Rfam family "Bacterial small subunit ribosomal RNA", at positions 28 to 507 of the family's 1533-position model. The record is from RNAcentral.
GACGAACGCUGGCGGCGUGCCUAAUACAUGCAAGUCGAGCGGACUUUCAAGAAGCUUGCUUUUUGAAAGUUAGCGGCGGACGGGUGAGUAACACGUGGGCAACCUGCCUGCAAGACGGGGAUAACUCCGGGAAACCGGGGCUAAUACCGGAUAAUAUCUUCCUUCGCAUGAAGGAAGGUUGAAAGGCGGCGCAAGCUGCCGCUUGCAGAUGGGCCCGCGGCGCAUUAGCUAGUUGGUGAGGUAACGGCUCACCAAGGCGACGAUGCGUAGCCGACCUGAGAGGGUGAUCGGCCACACUGGGACUGAGACACGGCCCAGACUCCUACGGGAGGCAGCAGUAGGGAAUCUUCCGCAAUGGACGAAAGUCUGACGGAGCAACGCCGCGUGAGCGAAGAAGGUCUUCGGAUCGUAAGGCUCUGUUGUCAGGGAAGAACAAGUACCGUUCGAACAGGGCGGUACCUUGACGGUACCUGACCAGAAAGCCACGGCUAACUACGUG